GACGAACGCUGGCGGCGUGCUUAACACAUGCAAGUCGAGCGAGGCUCUGCUCUUCGGAGCGGAUGCCCUAGCGGCGAACGGGUGAGUAACACGUGGGCAACCUGCCCCUAGCACUGGGAUAACCCCGGGAAACCGGAGCUAAUACCGGAUACGACCACCGGCGGCAUCAUCUGGUGGUGGAAAGAUUUAUCGGCUAGGGAUGGGCCCGCGGCCUAUCAGCUUGUUGGUGGGGUAACGCCUACCAAGGCGACGACGGGUAGCCGGCCUGAGAGGGCGACCGGCCACACUGGGACUGAGACACGGCCCAGACUUCUACGGAAGGCAGCAGUGGGGAAUAUUGCGCAAUGGGCGAAAGCCUGACGCAGCGACGCCGCGUGAGGGAUGACGGCCU
Molecule: ribosomal RNA, 391 nt
Filed under: uncultured bacterium
Lineage: Bacteria
Description: bacterial SSU rRNA
Rfam family: Bacterial small subunit ribosomal RNA
Source: RNAcentral